UACUGCUCAUUUCGUUCCAGCAGUCUGGAGGCUCGUUGGUUGCAGCUCUCGUUUCGCUGGAGCACUAGUCAAAAUAAUUGGGUUAACAAUCUUGCCCUUUCUUUCUUUCGGUCUGUUAGGGUUGCCCACCCACUCUUCCGCUCUCUCGCCUCAAAAUGGAGGUUUCCGUUCGUUUCUUCGGAUCGACCGCCGCUCUCCAUCGCCAAUUCCGGCUGAUCACCGUCCCCUCCUUCCCUCUCCCCCUCCCAAACUCUAGAUUUCCUCCGGUUGGCAGCAGCGGCUGCGGCUCGCCGACGCCGUUCGUCUUCCAUCCGUGCUCUCGACUCGCACAACGAUCCGCCGCCGGCCUUUGCUCCUCCCCGCCGCUAUUGGCCAGUUCCUCCCUCUCUCUCCCACCUCUCCUCUCCCUCUCCCAUCUCUUCGCCUCUAUGUCUCCCCAAGAGGGAGCCCUCGCCUCCGAUUCGGGUCUCAAGGAGGGCUUCGUCAACUGGGGUCGAGAUCGGGAUGUCCUGGAGGGGGGAGAUUUAGGGCUUUACAACGAGAAGGGAGCGAUUUGGAGGGUCGUGAUGCUCGGUUGGCUGGGAGCUGAGCCAAAGCAUCUCAACAAGUACGCGGGGUUGUAUACCUCCAAGGGGAUCGAACCGGUGAAGUUCGUCAUCCCAGUGAAGGAGCUCUUGGGUUUUGAUCUGGGGAGGAGGGUACAGGAUAAGAUUGCUCGGUUCACUACAGAGCUUGUUUCUUGGUGCUCGCAGACUGAGGAAGAUGGCAGAGAGCGUUGUCUGCUCUUUCACACCUUCAGCAAUACGGGUUGGCUAACCUAUGGUAGCAUACUUGAGAACUUGCAAACAAGGCCUGAUAUAAUUGAGAAGAUCAAAGGAUGUGUUAUCGACUCUGGAGCUGACCCUGAGAUAAGCCCUCAGGUGUGGGCUGCAGGAUUUUCUGCUGCUUUGCUGAAAAAGCGUAGCUCCUUGAUAAGCUCUUCUGAUGAAAAUAAUGGAGUAGCCAAACAGGAUAUGAAAAUGAAUGGAACGGGCACAAAGGACAAUAGUUCCUCUUUUGCUGAAAUUUUAACUUUAUCACUUCUAGAAAAGUUCUUCACAUUGGUUCUAAUGCUGCCUGACGUAAACCAGAGGCUGAGGAAGACCAUCUCCAUACUGUGGAAUAAACAGCCGCUCUGUCCUCAGCUCUAUCUGUACAGUUCAGCUGACAUGGUCAUUCCAGUCAACUCAGUAGAAAACUUUAUCAAGGAGCAGAAGACCUCAGGAAGAAUUGUACAUGCUCAUGAUUUCGGUUCAUCCCCACAUGUUGACCAUCUAAGGAGCUACCCUCAAAUGUAUUCUGCCAAAAUUACUGAGUUCAUGGAAGAGUGCUGCACUGUGGUAGUCUAAACUAGUGACCCUUUGUUAUCAUUUUUGUUGUGGUUUACUGAUGAGGAUCUGAAGUAAAUAGCAAAAUUUAUUUUUUUAACAGGUGCCACAGGUGAUUUCUUUUCAAAAAAAAGAAAACUUUUAUUAAGUUAAAUAUCUAUUACAUCCCAUACCUUGCCUCAAAGCACAGAAUAGAAUACAAAAAGUAUGGCCAGUUAGAUCUCCACACCUGAUCAACUUAAAAAUCCUUAUCUUGUACAGCUAGGGAAUGAGAACUCCUGUUACCCUGUCUACAAACAUGGACACAAGGCUAGAGAGGACACUACAAGAAAGGAAUUGCACAUGCUUUGCAGGAGGGCAUGGCCAAACUGGAAAUUGAAAAUGUUCUACAAAUCCUCUGGAUUCUAUCCGUCACUCGAGUUCCUUCCUAUUUUUGCUGUCUUUCUGGCCUUUGUGACAAUGUUUUACAGAUUAGUCUUCUGAAUUCACUCUUUCUUUCCUCCAAAAGAAGAUAAAAAAGUUUCUUCCUAUGGGGAAAUUGUGUUCUUCCUUGUUUUUCAUUUUGUAUUAGUUGGCUCUGUUUUCUUGUGCAUAUGACAUUACUGUAUGCUUAUUUGUUAAAUAUUCUCGCCUUUGGUGGGUUUUUUAGCUA
This is an RNA transcript of Musa acuminata AAA Group (dessert banana), 2019 nucleotides long. RefSeq lists it as uncharacterized. The record is from RefSeq and is a predicted model, not a curated record. NCBI's taxonomy places the organism in Eukaryota, Viridiplantae, Streptophyta, Magnoliopsida, Zingiberales, Musaceae. The transcript is spliced from 5 exons.